Molecule: long non-coding RNA, 2509 nt
Filed under: Amborella trichopoda
Lineage: Eukaryota; Viridiplantae; Streptophyta; Magnoliopsida; Amborellales; Amborellaceae
Description: long non-coding RNA (ATRI_LNC002648)
Source: RNAcentral
UCCAUAGCUACAAUCAAAACAAAAGUAUAGAACGCAAUAAAUAUUUGAUUCUAAUCAUAUGUGAAGCUCUUUUGCCAUUCCCAAUUCCUUUUCUCACCUGAAGAACAUUAACCAAAUGAAAGUAAGGUUAGCUGAAAGGAGUCAUAGAAAAUGUAAAUAACACAACCGUAUAAAAAAAAUCUUACAAGUAAAUAAAAUACCUAUGUAUAGGUAUUCAUGUUAUUAUCUCAAGGGACUUACUUGUUACUAAAUAAAUUAAUAAAGUAUAGGUAUUCAUGUUAUUGUCUCACGGGAGUUACUUGUUACUAAAUAAAAUACCAAUGUAUAAGCAUUCAUGUUAUUAUCUCACGGGAAUUACUUAAGGGCAAGUUUUCUAUGCUUUCCCUAGAGCAUAGAUGUUUUAUCCUCCCCUUAUCCAACCGUCCAUUCUGAAUGGAGGGUUAAGAUUGUCCUAAUCACAAUGUCACAUCUAUACUAUUUUAUUUUUAAUUUUUUCUAUGAACUAUUUUAACACCAAAUUUUGGACCUCCAUUCUUCUAUUAAACUCGCACUAACGAAAAAUAUAAAAAACUAUUUUCAAUAAAAUAAAAUGACCAAAAUACCCCUUAAAGUAUUAUUUUGGUGUUAUAUUUUAUUGAAAAAGUAUUUUUAAUAUUUUUUUAUAGGUGUGUUUCAAUGAGAAGAUGGCAGGAACCAAUUUCAUAUUUAUACAAUUUGUAUAAGAAAAAACUAAAAAUAAAAUAUUUUAAGACAUAGUACCAAGUUUGGUGCAUUUUAUGUCAUUUACUUUUAUCUCUCUCUCAUAUAUUAUUGAGAUGAUAAAUAGGUGCCUGAUUUUCUAAUUAUUUUUCAUAGCUCUUUCUCCCUCUUGUUUCCCUAAACUCUCUCUCUCUCUCUCUCUCUCUCUCUCUCUCUCUCUCUCUCGUACGUACGUACGUACGUACGUACGUACGUACGUACGUACGUACGUUACGUACUACGUACUACUAACUACUACUACUACUACUACUCUACUCUCUCUCUCUCUCGUCUCUACGUACUACUACGUACUANNNNNNNNNNNNNNNNNNNNAUGAUAAUAGUAGUACUCGAUUACUUAUAUUUACUAUAUCUCUUCUCCUCCUUCUUCCUACUACUCUCUCUCUCUCUCUCUCUCUCUCUCUCUCUAUGGUCACAGGUUUAGAAGUCCUAGAUCUAUGCCUAAUUACAUAACUUAGUACAAUUCCAUUCUCUCUUUGUGCCUCCCAUCUCAAGUGCUCUCUAGAAUUUGAAAUCUCUUAUUUAAAAUGUAAUUUCCUAUGCUGUACAAUAAAUAAUAUUUUUAAUUGGGUGUGGUUUGUAUAAGACUGAGGACCUAAACAAUCGAAGUAAGGUGCAUCUUGAGAUAGCGUCGAACGUUGUUAGUCAGUAUUUGGAGAUCUUUGUGAUGGUCUGAAAAUUUUAUUUUUAUUUCUAAUUAUAAAAUUUGAAACUUCAAAAAUAGUGUAGAUUGAGCAAAUCUAUGAACACUUGAAAAUCUUGAACAUUGAUGUUCCAAACAAUAGAUUUCAAGUAAACUAUUUUCAAACUGAAAAUUCAUUUUUUCUAAUGUUCAUACAUCUUGUGAUCAAAAUGAUUGAUUUGAGGAUUUUUGGGCAUCGAAUCAACCUCUUGUAAUGAAUUUUUGAUGUGAGCCUUAAUUUAAUUGUUUAGGGUCUUGCCGUUAUAUAAACUUUUCCUUUUUAAUUAAAAUCUUGGAAAUCAAUUUCAUAAUUUUUUGCUAUACAUUGGAAAUUCUAAAAAGGGUUGAGGAAUCCAAUUAGGUUAUAUUUGCAUAAAUAAUUAAUUAUAAAAUACAAAUACAAGUUAUAACUAAAAAGAAAAUUAAAUUUACAAUUAGAGCUUACAUGUUUCUUUUGAUGGCCCUAGCCUAAAUAUACCAUACAACAUACAACAGAUUAGCAAUAAAGGUUCGGAAAUAAAAGAAAUGGCUCCAGAAAGGAACAUGCGAGUUCUACAAGAGUUAUUCCCAUAAGUCAACCAUAGAAUCCUAAAAAAUAAGAAAUAUACUACAAAGCCAUUCAUUUUUUAGUACUAAGAAGUCAUAAUCAUGUUAGAUUAGAUCGACGAAUUUAAUACUAAGAGGUCAUAAUCAUGUUAGAUUAGAUCGUAAAAUUAAAUUCGUCAGAUGUAUAAAAAAUUUUAUUUUGAGUUUUUGUGCCCAAUCAUUUAUAUAGCCCCAGCUGGCUGUUCAUAUCUAAUGACCAAUGAUUGUGGUCUCCUUAUGCGAAGAAGAUUAAACAGUGUAAACUUUUCCUUAAGAACAAAGAAACUGGCUAAAUUUUCCCAAAAAAACUCUCUUUCAAUUUUAGUUUUGCACUUUUUUUUAUUUCACUCGAAGCAAUAGGGCACUUAGGAUCGGCUCACACUCGUGAAGAUCAUUAUUUGCAAAAGUUUUUAAAAUUAUUGAAGAAAGAGAAUACCACCAUGACUCCAUUAAAUGAAGGCCAACUCUUGAGAAUGGGGGNNN